This 1743-nucleotide long non-coding RNA is filed under the name Homo sapiens (human). RNAcentral's name for it is "small nucleolar RNA host gene 5". The record is from RNAcentral. Lineage: Eukaryota; Metazoa; Chordata; Mammalia; Primates; Hominidae.
CUACUGGCUGCGCACUUCGGUCUUUUACGUCGGCCUUCGCGAGCGUCUGGGCGGGUGGUAGGUGAGUGGGUAUUGCGGGCUAGUAUCCGAGCAAAAGAUGGUGGCGCAGGCCGAGUUAAGAGCUUUAAUCCUGUGAAGACAUCUUAGUGAAGAGUUUAGAGUGCUGAGAGUUGAAAGCUUGCACGUGGGAAACGUGCGGCCGGACUGCCACAUGUACUGAGGUUGAGUCGUGACGGCCACAGGCUCCGAGUUUUGGCGUGAGGAACCGCUGAUCGGCCACGGGCGCCGAACUUGCUGGCCUCCGGCAUGUGCCUGAGCGGCGGCGGAAAAACCACCUUAAUUGGGGCGGAGGGUUAGUUUUAACAGCAAAGGGCCUUUACUAAAAUGGCGAAGGCCUUCCGUCGGCGUUGUUUUAAAAUGGGAAGCCUCGACCCUGUAUUGAAACUGAGCUGUUCGAAGGCGGCGUUGUGUGCAAUUCGGAUUAAUGAAGGGGAAGGGUUUUGUGUGGAAAAACGCCUUGGAGUGUGACAUUUCUGCGAGAAUGCUUAAAUACCGAUUUCCCGCAGGAACAAUGGCGCUGUCUUCAGUGGCACAGUGGAGCAGCUCUGAAGAUGCAAAGUGAGGGUCGCUGUCUGCCCAUUGAUAGAGGCCAGAUUGUCUUGGAAGUUCCAAAGUUGCAACGAUUUCUUUAGUUGAAUCCAUGGACAUGAAACCCACAGAUAUAGAGGGUUGGCCCGGUGCAGUGGCUCACGCCUGUAAUCCCAGCACUUUGGGAGGCCAAGGCGGGUGGAUCACCUGAGGUCAGAAGCUUGAGACCAGCCUGGCCAACAUGGUAAAACCCCAUCUCUACUAAUAAUACAAAACAAUUUGCUGGGCAUGGUGGUGCACGCUUGUAAUCCAAGCUACUCCAGAGGCUGAGGCAGAAGAAUCGCUUGAAUCCGAGAGGCAAAGGUUGCAGUGAGCCCAGAUCACACCACUGCUCUCCAACCUGGGCAACAAGAGCAAAACUCCGUCAAAAAAAAAAGAUACAGGGUCAACUGUACACAUUAAACACUUCUAUCAACUAGUGAUGUCAGUCUUGUCCAUUGUAUUAUUGCCUAUCUUACUAAACAGUCAUAUUUCAGGAAGUACAAUAUACUCAAAAACUAAGUUAAUGUUCUUUGUAGAUUUAUGGUUAAUGGAUGAUUCAUAUAAUAGAAACUUAAAUUUAUUUGACCAUUCUAUUUAAUAUAGAAUAAAUACAACUAGCCAGGCAUGGUGGCUCAUGUCUAUAAUGCCAGCACUUGGGGAGGCCAAGGUGGGAGGCUCACUUGAGCAUAGGAAUUCAAGGCCAGCCUGGGCAACACAAUGUGAGACCCGUCUCUAUGAAAAUUUUAAAAAUUAGCCAAGCAUGGUAACACAAGUCUGUGGUCCCAGCUACUUGGGAGGCUGAGGCGCGAGAAGUCCAGGAGGUCAACGCUGCAGUGAGCUGUGUGUGUGCCACUGCAUCCUAGCCUGGGCAACAGAGCAAGACCCUGUCUCAAAAAUAAAGAAUAAAUACAACCUAUUAAGCUUGAGAGAUCCAGUGAAAUCCAAAUAAGAGAAACUGUGUCCUACACAGUUUUCUGUUAACCAUUUUCUUGGUAUUUAAAUUAUUUAUCAAAUUUUAACUUCAAUAAAAAAUUAUUCUGGAGAACACAUACCUCUAGAGUAAGUAAAGUAUACACUUUCAAUUUUUAGACAUGAGGUUUUGAGGUGUUUGAC